This 516-nucleotide ribosomal RNA is filed under the name uncultured bacterium. RNAcentral describes it as "bacterial SSU rRNA". It matches the Rfam family "Bacterial small subunit ribosomal RNA", at positions 772 to 1281 of the family's 1533-position model. The record is from RNAcentral.
ACUGAAUAGAUACCCCGGUAGUCCACGCCCUAAACGAUGUCUACUAGUUGUUGGUGGAGUAAAAUCCAUGAGUAAACGCAGCUAAACGCGUGAAGUAGACCGCCUGGGGAGUACGGUCGCAAGAUUAAAAACUCAAAGGAAUUGACGGGGGCCCGCACAAGCGGUGGAUUAUGUGGAUUAAAUUCGAUGCAACGCGAAAAACCUUACCUGGCCUUGACAUGCCACUAACGAAGCAGAGAUGCAUUAGGUGCCCGUAAGGGAAAGUGGACACAGGUGCUGCAUGGCUGUCGUCAGCUCGUGUCGUGAGAUGUUGGGUUAAGUCCCGCAACGAGCGCAACCCUUGCCAUUAAUUGCCAUCAUUUAGUUGGGCACUUUAAUGGGACUGCCGGUGACAAACCGGAGGAAGGUGGGGAUGACGUCAAGUCCCCAUGGCCCUUAUGGCCAGGGCUUCACACGUAAUACAAUGGUCGGUACAGAGAGUUGCCAACCCGCGAGGGGGUAGCUAAUCUCAGAAAG